UCGUAACAAGGUUUCCGUAGGUGAACCAGCGGAGGGAUCAUU
Molecule: ribosomal RNA, 42 nt
Filed under: Trichoderma harzianum
Lineage: Eukaryota; Fungi; Ascomycota; Sordariomycetes; Hypocreales; Hypocreaceae
Also listed under: 9 other names
Description: partial 18S ribosomal RNA
Source: RNAcentral